CUUCAAGAAGCAGGUUUUUCAGAAAAGCACUGAACCAAGCAGACCACCUUCUGGCUCCCUUGGUUAUACCAUUCAGAGGAAAGCAGCAGAUGGGGAUGUAUUCUGUGCUGGCAAUUUCUCCCACUCUUGUCUGGCCAACCCACAGACCAGUGUAUAUAAACAGGAAGAUGAGCCCUCAUCUUGCUAAGCAAUACUGAUGGGCCUUUUCCUCCAUCCAUUCUCUCAGGAGAGAAAGGAGUCUUAAUCCUCAAUGAUGUCUUCACUUAGUCUGUUUGGAAGAAGGAUCAAUUCUUGCAGAAUUCUUCAGGACUCCAGGAAUCUGACCCAGAGAAGGAUUAAGUAACCAAAACCAAAUCUACGUUUUUAAAAUUAUGCAGUUGAUCUUGAGCAAUAAACAUGUAGCCUGUCA
Long non-coding RNA from Callorhinus ursinus (northern fur seal), 409 nucleotides. RefSeq lists it as uncharacterized. The record is from RefSeq and is a predicted model, not a curated record. Lineage: Eukaryota; Metazoa; Chordata; Mammalia; Carnivora; Otariidae.